RNAcentral lists this ribosomal RNA (137 nucleotides) under uncultured bacterium. RNAcentral describes it as "partial 16S ribosomal RNA". It matches the Rfam family "Bacterial small subunit ribosomal RNA", at positions 355 to 509 of the family's 1533-position model. The record is from RNAcentral.
UGGGGAAUAUUGCACAAUGGGGGAAACCCUGAUGCAGCGACGCCGCGUGAGCGAUGAAGUAUUUCGGUAUGUAAAGCUCUAUCAGCAGGGAAGAAAAUGACGGUACCUGACCAAGAAGCCCCGGCUAACUACGUGCC